CAACCUUGAAUAUACGAUUGCUAAGAGAAGUAAUAUCGGAAUUUAGCAUUGCUGAUCCAUUUUCGAUCGACGGACUUGGACUCAAACUGGGAAUUGCUGACUCCAAAACUGGGUUCCCAUUCUUUUUUUUCGUGGCAGAAUAACUACGUUUCAGACGUUUUGAGUAAUGACAUUCUUCUUGGUACACUAUGCAAUUUUGACAGCUAGGUAGUUCGCGAUUGCAGCGAAUCUUUUUGCGUCGACAAAGUUCACAUGCCUUACUAGCCUUUUCCACAGAAGUCAUUUGCCCUAACGAAAAGUAAUUUACAUUUAAAAUUUAAUUUUUCUCUCGAUUGAUCUAAACGGAAAUGCAAAGUAAUUUGGCUGUGAAGUAUUGGCUCAAACAAGCAGAUAAUUCAGGCAAAAUGAGCAGCCCUUCCACGGACAACUGCGCUUUACAAUUUUUAACGAUAAUGUGAGCGAUCGAAUGUGACUUAGUACGGUAUUUGCCGUUUAUUUCGAAAUCUGGUGAAUAUACUUAAGGAAGGUGAUCUUGGAAGUAUCAGCGCCCUUUUUGUACUAUAUAAAUCUCCGGAUACCAAUUACAGGCGACUAUUGUAAAAACAGGAAAAAUAAUCGAGUCGUUGCAGAAGGUAUAUAGUAGUAGCUUGUGUUUGAGUAUGUGUUUCCUUUAAAUUAAACUCGGCUGUUCUCUGUUUACCACCACCUAUAAGAACCAUAUAAGAUUUAUUAGUGCGACAGACAAUAAAUAACAACUAGAAGAACAAUUGUAAUUAAAUUCUAUAAUUCCAAGAUACACAUUAAGAUGAAACCAGUAGUAAUUUUGUAGCAAUUUGCUUUUUCUUACCAUAUAAUAUCGGUUUUCCUCAUUUACCUGAUCUAUCUAAAUAUCCGCGGACUUUACUUUCGGACUUAUCAUAGAAAACUCCAUAAACCAGAAAGCAACUCUCUUUAGUGCCUUGAGUUCCUUUUUAUUUAAAAAAAAAUCUUUUCCCUUAUUUUCAAUGCUAAUACAGAUGAAAAUUUUCACAAAAAAAUCAGUUUUUAGAUCUGAUAGCCCUAAUUGCGUUUCAUUACAGUUGACGAUAGAAAACGCAAGUUAAUGAAUAUUUUAAAUAGUAAAACUUUUAG
Non-coding RNA from Schizosaccharomyces pombe (fission yeast), 1131 nucleotides. Lineage: Eukaryota; Fungi; Ascomycota; Schizosaccharomycetes; Schizosaccharomycetales; Schizosaccharomycetaceae. The record is from the annotation of a GenBank genome assembly.